RNAcentral lists this transfer RNA (95 nucleotides) under Sphaerisporangium siamense. RNAcentral describes it as "tRNA-Pro". The record is from RNAcentral. Lineage: Bacteria; Bacillati; Actinomycetota; Actinomycetes; Streptosporangiales; Streptosporangiaceae.
CGCCGUCCUGGCCUACCUCGGGGACGGCGCCACCUCCCAGGGCGACGUGAACGAGGCGUUCGUCUGGGCGGGCGCGUUCAACGCGCCGGUGGUGU